This 1372-nucleotide ribosomal RNA is filed under the name uncultured bacterium. RNAcentral's name for it is "bacterial SSU rRNA". It matches the Rfam family "Bacterial small subunit ribosomal RNA", at positions 28 to 1381 of the family's 1533-position model. The record is from RNAcentral.
GAUAAACGCUGGCGGCGUGCCUAAUACAUGCAAGUCGAGCGAACGGACGAGAAGCUUGCUUCUCUGAUGUUAGCGGCGGACGGGUGAGUAACACGUGGAUAACCUACCUAUAAGACUGGGAUAACUUCGGGAAACCGGAGCUAAUACCGGAUAAUAUUUUGAACCGCAUGGUUCAAAAGUGAAAGACGGUCUUGCUGUCACUUAUAGAUGGAUCCGCGCUGCAUUAGCUAGUUGGUAAGGUAACGGCUUACCAAGGCAACGAUGCAUAGCCGACCUGAGAGGGUGAUCGGCCACACUGGAACUGAGACACGGUCCAGACUCCUACGGGAGGCAGCAGUAGGGAAUCUUCCGCAAUGGGCGAAAGCCUGACGGAGCAACGCCGCGUGAGUGAUGAAGGUCUUCGGAUCGUAAAACUCUGUUAUUAGGGAAGAACAUAUGUGUAAGUAACUGCGCACAUCUUGACGGUACCUAAUCAGAAAGCCACGGCUAACUACGUGCCAGCAGCCGCGGUAAUACGUAGGUGGCAAGCGUUAUCCGGAAUUAUUGGGCGUAAAGCGCGCGUAGGCGGUUUUUUAAGUCUGAUGUGAAAGCCCACGGCUCAACCGUGGAGGGUCAUUGGAAACUGGAAAACUUGAGUGCAGAAGAGGAAAGUGGAAUUCCAUGUGUAGCGGUGAAAUGCGCAGAGAUAUGGAGGAACACCAGUGGCGAAGGCGACUUUCUGGUCUGUAACUGACGCUGAUGUGCGAAAGCGUGGGGAUCAAACAGGAUUAGAUACCCUGGUAGUCCACGCCGUAAACGAUGAGUGCUAAGUGUUAGGGGGUUUCCGCCCCUUAGUGCUGCAGCUAACGCAUUAAGCACUCCGCCUGGGGAGUACGACCGCAAGGUUGAAACUCAAAGGAAUUGACGGGGACCCGCACAAGCGGUGGAGCAUGUGGUUUAAUUCGAAGCAACGCGAAGAACCUUACCAAAUCUUGACAUCCUUUGACAACUCUAGAGAUAGAGCCUUCCCCUUCGGGGGACAAAGUGACAGGUGGUGCAUGGUUGUCGUCAGCUCGUGUCGUGAGAUGUUGGGUUAAGUCCCGCAACGAGCGCAACCCUUAAGCUUAGUUGCCAUCAUUAAGUUGGGCACUCUAAGUUGACUGCCGGUGACAAACCGGAGGAAGGUGGGGAUGACGUCAAAUCAUCAUGCCCCUUAUGAUUUGGGCUACACACGUGCUACAAUGGACAAUACAAAGGGCAGCGAAACCGCGAGGUCAAGCAAAUCCCAUAAAGUUGUUCUCAGUUCGGAUUGUAGUCUGCAACUCGACUACAUGAAGCUGGAAUCGCUAGUAAUCGUAGAUCAGCAUGCUACGGUGAAUACGUUCCCGGGUCU